UCUACAAGCCAUACCACCCUGAACGCACCCGAUCUCAUCUGAUCUCGGAAAAAUAGAAACGGGAUUUUGCUAUAU
Molecule: ribosomal RNA, 75 nt
Filed under: Gorilla gorilla gorilla (western lowland gorilla)
Lineage: Eukaryota; Metazoa; Chordata; Mammalia; Primates; Hominidae
Source: RNAcentral